Molecule: ribosomal RNA, 828 nt
Filed under: Vittaforma corneae
Lineage: Eukaryota; Fungi; Microsporidia; Nosematidae
Description: SSU rRNA
Rfam family: Microsporidia small subunit ribosomal RNA
Source: RNAcentral
AAAUUGCCCACUCUUUGCAGGAGGCAGUUAUGAGACGUGAAGAUGAGUAUCUUGUAAAGAGGGAUAGGAGAAUUGGAGGGCAAGUUUGGUGCCAGCAGCCGCGGUAAUACCGACUCCAAGAGUGUGUAUGAGAGAUGCUGCAGUUAAAAAGUCCGUAGUCAUAGAAGGGCAAAGAGAGAUGCGAGGUCUCACAGUGCGAUGAUGGAGGAGCCGAUGGGGAACAUAGUAUACCAGGGCGAGAGAUGAAAUGCCAAGACCCCUGGUGGACUGAGCGAGGCGAAGGCGAUGUUCUUGUAGGCAUUCGGUGAUCAAGGACGAAGGCUGGAGUAUCGAAAGUGAUUAGAUACCGCAGUAGUUCCAGCAGUAAAAGAUGCCGACAUGCUCAUUGGACACAGUGGGCAGGGAGAAAUCUUAGAGUUCGGGCUCUGGGGAUAGUAUGCUCGCAAGGGUGAAAAUUAAAGAAAUUGACGGAGCUACACCACAAGGAGUGGAUUGUGCGGCUUAAUUUGACUCAACGCGAGGAAACUUACCAGGGCCAAGUAUUGUGUAGAAACGAGCAAUACAGGAGUGGUGCAUGGUCGUUGGAAAUUGAUGGGAUGACUUUGACCUUAAAUGGUUGAAUGAGUGAGAUCUUUUGGACAUGUUCCGCACGGAACAGGAAGGAAAAGGCUAUAACAGAUCCGAGAUGCCCUCAGAUGCCCUGGGCUGCACGCGCAAUACAAUAGCAGGUAGAGAGAGAGACAGGAAGGUGCUCAGAUGGACUAUGUGCUGUAAGGCACAUACGAAAGAGGAAUUCCUAGUAAGUGUGUAUCAACAAUGGAUAUUGAA